GACGAACCGUGCGAACGUUGUUCGGGAUCACUGGGCUUAAAGGGCGCGUAGGCGGGCUAUCAAGUCCGGGGUGAAAUCCUCCCGCUCAACGGGAGAACGGCCUCGGAUACUGAUGGUCUCGAGGGGGAUAGGGGCACACGGAACUGUGGGUGGAGCGGUGAAAUGCGUUGAUAUCCAUAGGAACUCCGGUGGCGAAAGCGGUGUGCUGGAUCCCUUCUGACGCUGAGGCGCGAAAGCCAGGGGAGCGAACGGG
Molecule: ribosomal RNA, 253 nt
Filed under: uncultured bacterium
Lineage: Bacteria
Description: partial 16S ribosomal RNA
Rfam family: Bacterial small subunit ribosomal RNA
Source: RNAcentral